GUUUAUCGCUCACUUUGCGCUAGAAAGAGGAAACCAGCGGAUAAACAACAGCAGCACGUUUAAGCUUGAUAAGCUGUUGUUAGAACUGAUUUAAUAUUAAUUUUCUAGUAUCAGCUGCUGUUUGCUGGAGCCACGGCAGUAAAAACUACUGGUCAUGAUAUCGGUUUGGUUAUCUGGUGAGAGGGAAACAUGAAGAUGAAACCAGGAGCUGUCCUUACUGAAUCAUCAGAGCUGAACAGGUGAUGGAGAAACAGGGUUACCUUUUAGGUGACAUGAACGGAAGUUAUGAACUAUUUCUGAGAGACAAAUAACACCAAGAUCCUUUUUUUACGUAGCGCACAGCUGGUAACUGUGCAGCGGCGGGUCUAGCAAAGUUUUGCCAGGGGGCCAGGUAGGGCAUUAACUGGGAAAGGGGGGCACAAAAAUAUUUCUUUGUUAUUUCAUUUAAAAUGACUAAUAAAUAAUUAUCUGAAUCUUACAACCAAAGUUUUCAUCUGAUUAAAUGUAUAGAAAUCCAUUACUGUAUAUAGUAACUAUUAAGUCUAAUAUAUACUCUAGUAAGCUAUAGUACUAUUUCCAUCUUUGCAGUCUGCAAUUCUGUUGAAGAAAGAUGUUGAAUCUGUUUAAUUAUUGUAGAAAAAUAAUUGAUUUCUGUGCUGCUUUUUUUUUUUUAAAUGCACGUGUAUUAAAUUAAAGUUGAUUAUGUUGAUUAAACAUCACAAGGCGGAGGGUGGGGGGUGGUUCCCUUUUUUUUUUUUUUUGCUGGGAGUUGGCAACCCUAUUAGUUAGGUUGUUUAAUAUUUCUGCUAAGUACUCUUUAAAAUAUCAGAAUAGGGAGGAUGGUGUAGGUUUAUAGAGAUUUAUUUAAAAAAAAAAAAGUUGUAUUGAUUACAAAAUACACUAUAUCGGAUUCAUAUCGGUAUCGGCAGAUAUCCAAAUAUAUGAUAUCGGACAUAAAAAAAAUUUUAAAAAAUUUUUUAAAAAUCGUGCCAUCUCUAGUUUCUACUCAGAAACACAGUCGCUGGCCAUUUAAAUUGCAGCUGCACAUUAGCCGUCCUCUCUCAUGAAGCAGAGGGUAAAGACAGAAAGAGACUCAGGUUAUAUACUUAAAAACUGAACUUCAUUUUCAAAAACCAAGAAGACUCAUGAUAUUCUACCAGUGCCUGUCUGCUGUAUUCUUGCUGAUAUCCUAGAGUAGAUGGGGAUGACAGAAAUAUAUACACAGAUUUGACGAGGUCAGGAAACAUUAAGACCAAUAAUGUCACAGUGGCACGCUCUCCUUUGAAAAAAAUAAAAAUAAAAACAACCUGAUGUUGAAUAUCUUGUUUUCACAUUCAACCCCAUCUUUUAGAACCUGAUUUCCAGAAAGCUGUUUUGUAUUCAAACCAGUCUUGGAAAUAAUAAAGCCACUGGAAGAGAUCUGCAACACACCAGACUUUGGUUACUGAGCGAAACAAUGCUGAAAACAGCCUGCGUUCGCUUCCCUCCCUCCAAGACAUCUACAGGAAGCGGUGCCUGAGGAAAGCGGGGAGGAUCAUCAAGGACUCCAGUCACCCCAGCCAUAAACUGUUCAGACUGCUUCCAUCAGGAAGGAGGUUCUGCAGCAUCCGGUCCCGUACCAGCAGACUGAGAGACAGCUUUUUCCAUCAGGCCAUCAGACUGCUGAACACGUCAUAGACACCUCAGCUUC
Long non-coding RNA from Astatotilapia calliptera (eastern happy), 1690 nucleotides. NCBI's taxonomy places the organism in Eukaryota, Metazoa, Chordata, Actinopteri, Cichliformes, Cichlidae. The record is from Ensembl.